This is a non-coding RNA of Schistosoma haematobium, 45 nucleotides long. The record is from Rfam. Lineage: Eukaryota; Metazoa; Platyhelminthes; Trematoda; Strigeidida; Schistosomatidae.
AUCCAGCCGAUGAGUCCCGAAUUGAACGAAACGCUCAUCCUGGAU